CCUACGGGUGGCAGCAGUGAGGAAUAUUGCUCAAUGGGCGCAACCCUGAACCAGCCACGUAGCGUGAAGGAUGACUGCCCUACGGAUUUUCAACUUCUUUUAUAAAGGAAUAAAGUGAUGCACGUGUGCCUUUUUGUAUGUACUUUCUGCAUAAGAAUCGGCUAACUCCGUGCCAGCAGCCGCGGUAAUACGGAGGAUCCGAGCGUUAUCCGGAUUUAUUGGGUUUAAAGGGAGCGUAGAUGGGUUGUUAAGUCAGUUGUGAAAGUUUGCGGCUCAACCGUAAAAUUGCAAUUGAUACUGGCAGUCUUGAGUACAGUUGAGGUAGGUGGAAUUCGUGGUGUAGCGGUGAAAUGCUUAGAUAUCACGAAGAACUCCGAUUGCGAAGGCAGCUUACUAAACUGUAACUGACAUUGAUGCUCGAAAGUGUGGGUAUCAAACAGGAUUAGAUACCCCUGUAGUC
Molecule: ribosomal RNA, 460 nt
Filed under: uncultured bacterium
Lineage: Bacteria
Description: partial 16S ribosomal RNA
Rfam family: Bacterial small subunit ribosomal RNA
Source: RNAcentral